This 78-nucleotide transfer RNA is filed under the name Candidatus Thiodiazotropha sp. RNAcentral describes it as "tRNA-Cys". It matches the Rfam family "tRNA". Rfam says of the family: Transfer RNA (tRNA) molecules are approximately 80 nucleotides in length. Their secondary structure includes four short double-helical elements and three loops (D, anti-codon, and T loops). The record is from RNAcentral. Lineage: Bacteria; Pseudomonadati; Pseudomonadota; Gammaproteobacteria; Chromatiales; Sedimenticolaceae.
GUGGACAUGGCCGAGCGGUCUAAGGCGCCUGACUGCAAACCAGGUGUAUCGUCAGUUCGAAUCUGACUGUCCACUCCA